Molecule: non-coding RNA, 95 nt
Organism: Triticum aestivum (bread wheat)
Lineage: Eukaryota; Viridiplantae; Streptophyta; Magnoliopsida; Poales; Poaceae
Source: Rfam
AGUUUUUUUUUAAGCACCGGUGCUUAUUUGUGGAGGGUAGACGCUUAAUUAAGCGUCUGUCCUAUAGAAAUAAGCACCGGUGCUUAAGAAGAACU